UCCGGAGAGAGGAGGAUGUGGAGCCGGUGUCGGUGUGUCCUGAGUCUAUCUGCUGUCAGGAGGCUGACCUGGACCAUGCCAUGCGUGGUGAAGCAUGUUUAACAAAUGUUCGCACACUUGUGUGCCGCGGAACAGCGGCUGGGAAUCACUGGAUUGGAGCACAUUGGAUUGGGGCGAAUCUGUUUUGGCUUGAUGUAAAUCCUGUCCGCUGGCCUCUCUGGCUUUUCGUCUGAGAUUUACAGCUUGACCAUUUAUUUACUGAUAAACACCACUUCACCUAAGAGACUUGAGUAUCCAGUUCUUCAUUGACCUUCAGCAUUCAGUUGUUUGUCUUCACCUUUUCAGGUAAGUAAUUUCAAAAAAAUGCUUCUGUAAUGUUGAGAAACACUGAAAUUAUUAUUUAUAAAGAACUUUCAACCACUGUUCUGUUCUGUGAUGUCAUGUAUAGUGAUAUACAAAUAUAUUUGAAGGAACGGUGUAUUUGGGAUAAUCAAUAUUAUUAGUAUUAUUCGUGUAUUUAUUUAUUUUUAAAUCAGAGAAUGGGGGGAAAAUAGAUUCUUAGUACAAAAACUAGUAACUAGUAAAAAAAAAUUGGUAACAAUAAUGUUCAUUCAUUAAUUGACACUUGGUCAAACCCUCAUCUAAUUAAAUAUUGCUGUCUCAUUAACAUGUUGUA
Centropristis striata (black sea bass) is the source of this 676-nucleotide long non-coding RNA. RefSeq lists it as uncharacterized. The transcript has 3 exons. NCBI's taxonomy places the organism in Eukaryota, Metazoa, Chordata, Actinopteri, Perciformes, Serranidae. The record is from RefSeq and is a predicted model, not a curated record.